Molecule: long non-coding RNA, 350 nt
Organism: Cydia amplana
Lineage: Eukaryota; Metazoa; Arthropoda; Insecta; Lepidoptera; Tortricidae
Exons: 2
Source: RefSeq, a predicted model, not a curated record
AAAUAAAGGCAGCGAAAGGUAAUGUGCUUUUAAAAGAAAUUUGAAAAUGGGAAGGGAUUUAGCACGUCUAAUCAUUCCACAACCGAACAGCACGAAAAGUAAAAGAGUUUAUAUAAAAUUUCGAUGAAGAAGAUGGUGGAGCAAGGAGAAGUUUCUCCGCACACCGGACAGAAGAAAGAUAGCUGAAACGCUGUUUAAGAUAUAGAGGGGUAGUGGGGUUGAAGAGAAUAUUAUAAAGAAGAACAAGAAUAUGAGAGUUGCGGCGAUGGCGAAUAGGGAGCCACUUGAGCUGGGUGCGAAAUUCAGAGACGUGGUCAUAUUUGCGUAAGCCAAAUAUGAACCUUAUACAU